Molecule: long non-coding RNA, 293 nt
Filed under: Pan troglodytes (chimpanzee)
Lineage: Eukaryota; Metazoa; Chordata; Mammalia; Primates; Hominidae
Description: long non-coding RNA NONPTRT013140
Source: RNAcentral
UGGGAAUUAAAUAACCUGCUCCUGAAUGACCAUUGGGUCAACAAUGAAAUCAAGAUAGAAAUUUAAAAAUUCUUUGAACUCGGCUGGGUGCGGUGGCUCACGCCUGUAAUCCCAGCACGUUGGGAGGCUUAGGCGUUAGGCACAGGUAUAACAAAGCAUGCUUUCUAUGAACUAACUGUCAGAUCAUAUUAUAACACAAAUGCGAGGCCGUUCUCUCAUUAACAGGAAAUGAAUUUUUGUCAGAUGGUUUUCUUAGGUCAGUGAACAUCUUGUUCUCACUUGUUGUGGCUUAG